RNAcentral lists this transfer RNA (71 nucleotides) under Acanthodactylus erythrurus. RNAcentral's name for it is "tRNA-Trp". Lineage: Eukaryota; Metazoa; Chordata; Lepidosauria; Squamata; Lacertidae. The record is from RNAcentral.
AAGAACUUAGGUUACAUAUCAACCAUGGACCUUCAAAGUCCAAAACAGGGCCCACUAAACCCUAGUUCUUG